RNAcentral lists this ribosomal RNA (253 nucleotides) under uncultured bacterium. RNAcentral describes it as "partial 16S ribosomal RNA". It matches the Rfam family "Bacterial small subunit ribosomal RNA", at positions 524 to 776 of the family's 1533-position model. The record is from RNAcentral.
UACGGAGGGGGCUAGCGUUGUUCGGAAUGACUGGGCGUAAAGCGCGCGUAGGCGGAUCAUCAAGUCGGGGGUGAAAUCCCGGGGCUCAACCCCGGAACGGCCUUCGAGACUGGUGGUCUUGAGUUCGAGAGAGGUGGGUGGAAUUCCGAGUGUAGAGGUGAAAUUCGUAGAUAUUCGGAGGAACACCAGUGGCGAAGGCGGCUCACUGGCCCGAUACUGACGCUGAGGCACGAAAGCGUGGGGAGCAAACAGG